This 216-nucleotide long non-coding RNA is filed under the name Phoenix dactylifera (date palm). Its description in RNAcentral is "long non-coding RNA (PDAC_LNC010194)". Lineage: Eukaryota; Viridiplantae; Streptophyta; Magnoliopsida; Arecales; Arecaceae. The record is from RNAcentral.
GGAGGAUUUGGCUCUGUUUUGUUUAAACUGAGAAGUUCGGACGUGUGAUCUGAGAGGAUGCGUCUGGAGUAAGCCGGGAGAUGUGAUUCGGAGGGACGUUUGAAGAAGUUGGCUUGGCUGAUCCGUGGGUUAAGGAUGAACUCGGAACAAGAUGAGAGCUGGUAGAUCUGAGAGGUUUGGGAUGUUGGAUUUGGUUCGGUUGUUAGCUUUGUUUCA